RNAcentral lists this ribosomal RNA (406 nucleotides) under uncultured bacterium. RNAcentral's name for it is "partial 16S ribosomal RNA". It matches the Rfam family "Bacterial small subunit ribosomal RNA", at positions 30 to 526 of the family's 1533-position model. The record is from RNAcentral.
AUUGAACGCUGGCGGCAGGCCUAACACAUGCAAGUCGAACGAGUGGCGGACGGGUGAGUAAUGUCUGGGAAACUGCCCGAUGGAGGGGGAUAACUACUGGAAACGGUAGCUAAUACCGCAUACUAUCGGAUGUGCCCAGAUGGGAUUGGCUUGUAGGUGGGGUAACGGCUCACCUAGGCGACGAUCCCUAGCUGGUUUGAGAGGCUGACCAGCAACACUGGAACUGAGACACGGUCCAGACUCCAACGGGAGGAAGCAGGGGGGAAUAUUGCACAAUGGGCGCAAGCCUGAUGCAGCCAUGCCGGGUGUAUGAAGAAGGCCUUCGGGUUGUAAAGUACUUUCAGCGAGGAGGCGUUACUCGCAGAAGAAGCACCGGCUAACUCCGUGCCAGCAGCCGCGGUAAUAC